RNAcentral lists this long non-coding RNA (631 nucleotides) under Cucumis sativus (cucumber). Its description in RNAcentral is "long non-coding RNA (CSAT_LNC003174)". Lineage: Eukaryota; Viridiplantae; Streptophyta; Magnoliopsida; Cucurbitales; Cucurbitaceae. The record is from RNAcentral.
AGCCACAAUGAACUAAAUCCCUUUAGAAAAGGGUGGACAUUAACAAAACUUGUUGCCACUUCGAAGGGAGUAGUCAAACUUAGAAACUAAGUGUAGAACCAUAGAAAGGUUAGCCCACCGGUUCUAGCAAGACCUAGUUACCACAUUGCAUAUCAAAGAAAGAAUAGAGAGACUUGCAAACGUAAACAGUGAAACAAUUAAGAGCUAAAAAAAACAAACAACAUAUGCAAUAUACAUCAGAAAAAUCCCAUAAAAAAUGAGGGGAAACUUCACUUAUGGCCUAACCAAAACCAAACCACCUACUCUUAGCGUUCUAGACAUAGCAUCGAGUUUGACGAGGGCUUUGAAAAGAGGAGGAAUCCUCCCCGUUCCAUAGUAGGGGGAAAACGAGGCUUGUUGUCACUCCGAAGGGAGCAGUCAAACUUAGAAACUAAGUCUAGAACCAUAGAAAGGUUACCCCACCGGUUCUUUGUGCGUACCAAAGAAACAAAAGAGAUAGUUGCAAAUGUAAAACGUAAAACAGCGAGACAAUUAAGAGCUAAAAAAAAAAAACAAUAUGCAUUAUACAUUAGAAAAAUCCCAUAAAAAAAUGAGGGGAAACUUCACUUAUGGCCUAACCAAAACCAGACCA